This 363-nucleotide long non-coding RNA is filed under the name Gallus gallus (chicken). The record is from RNAcentral. Lineage: Eukaryota; Metazoa; Chordata; Aves; Galliformes; Phasianidae.
CUGUUUUUUCUUCUCUUGUGAAGUUUCAUUCCUUAUUAUGAUUCCGGUUUCCAGAACAGGUUCCAGACUAUCUUGUGUCCUCAGGUUCUGUUUUUAUGACCUUCCUUUCUAUGUUGUUAAAAGCUGAGUGAGGAAAAUCCUUUAAGAUACCAAGGCCUUCCGAGGACUGGGACUUUGCCUCGCCACCAGGGUAAAGCCGGAUCAAUUCACUGCACAGUGGUUUUCCAAUGUGCUGCUCUCCAUCAAGUGAAAUGUGCUGCAGCUGUCUAUUGGGAAGGUUUGACAUGCGGAGAUUCAGCGGCCUUUCACCUUGUCCAUCAACAUUAUCUAAUGACAUGCCAUUGGGGCUGUGCUCUUCUGAGU